AACGAACGCUGGCGGCAUGCCUAACACAUGCAAGUCGAACGAGACCUUCGGGUCUUUUGGCGUACGGGUGCGUAACGCGUGGGAACCUUCCCUUAUGUUUGGAAUAACUCCCCGACAGGGGUGCUAAUACCGGAUAAUGUCUUCGGCCCAAAGAUUUAUCGCCUUUGGAUGUGCCCUCGUUGGAUUAGCUAGUGGGUAGGGUAAUAGCCUACCAAGGCGACGAUCCAUAGAUGGUUUGAGAGGAUGAUCAGCCACACUGGGACUGAGACACGGCCCAGACUCCUACGGGAGGCAGCAGUGGGGGAUGGAGGACAAUGGGCGGAAGCAUGAUGCAGCAAGGACGGGUGAGUGAUGAAGGCCGUAGGGUUGUAAAGCGCAUUUAACCGGGAUGAUAAUGACAGUACCGGGAGAAUAAGCUCCGGCUAACUCCGUG
This 433-nucleotide ribosomal RNA is filed under the name uncultured bacterium. RNAcentral describes it as "partial 16S ribosomal RNA". It matches the Rfam family "Bacterial small subunit ribosomal RNA", at positions 29 to 507 of the family's 1533-position model. The record is from RNAcentral.